RNAcentral lists this ribosomal RNA (465 nucleotides) under uncultured bacterium. RNAcentral describes it as "partial 16S ribosomal RNA". It matches the Rfam family "Bacterial small subunit ribosomal RNA", at positions 28 to 507 of the family's 1533-position model. The record is from RNAcentral.
GACGAACGCUGGCGGCGUGCUUAACACAUGCAAGUCGAACGGAAAGGCCCUGCUUGCAGGGUACUCGAGUGGCGAACGGGUGAGUAACACGUGGGUGAUCUGCCCUGCACUUCGGGAUAAGCCUGGGAAACUGGGUCUAAUACCGGAUAGGAGCCAUUUUUAGUGUGAUGGUUGGAAAGUUUUUUCGGUGUAGGAUGAGCUCGCGGCCUAUCAGCUUGUUGGUGGGGUAAUGGCCUACCAAGGCGGCGACGGGUAGCCGGCCUGAGAGGGUGGACGGCCACAUUGGGACUGAGAUACGGCACAGACUCCUACGCGAGGCAGCAGUGGGGAAUACUGCACAAUGGGCGCAAGCCUGAUGCAGCGACGCUGCGUGGGGGAUGACGGCCUUCGGGUUGGAAACUCCUUUCGCGAGGGACGAAGCUUUUUGUGACGGUACCUAGAUAAGAAGCAACGGCUAACUACGUG